This is a long non-coding RNA of Hyla sarda, 1109 nucleotides long. RefSeq lists it as uncharacterized. The transcript is spliced from 4 exons. Lineage: Eukaryota; Metazoa; Chordata; Amphibia; Anura; Hylidae. The record is from RefSeq and is a predicted model, not a curated record.
UGUUCUAAUUGCUGGGCUUUGUGCUGACUGAUGUGACUGCCAAAGUAUCUACUAUCAUUAACAUUAAUGUCUCCUUUGCAGGUCUCAAAGCAAGGCAGAGAUUAAUCAAUCAACUUAUCAUCAAUUUACAAUGAAAUGCCUCGGCUUUCUUCUCUGGACUUACUCCUGCUGCAUUUACAACUGCUGCAGUUCCUACUCUGCCCUCUAGGGACCAUGUGAAAGCACUGGCUGUAAUUUAAUGGAGGAUGAGGAUCUGCUUACAAAGUGAUGAACCUAUGAUGUCAGAGUGUCAGACCCUACAAAGAAGAUGUAGCUUGAAGAAGACCUGGUGCCUGGACCAACAGAGAAGACGUCACUCAGCCUUGAGUAUAGCCUCUGCCUUAGGCUGAAUGAGAGAAUAAAGGAGACUGAUCUUCUAUUUUUGUGAUAUGUUUGAAGCCCCUCUGGUGGCGAAAUGUUUUAACAGCACAGGAUGGCUUCUUACACACUGGGGAAUGAAAGGCAUUUUAAUACGAUCCACAUGGAUGAAAACCUACUGGAAAUAUAUGCAAGCUGUUUGGACAAUUCUCUGUGAUUACCCCCCUGCCUUUUAAAAGAAGCUUCUGUCUAGCACGGUGCCAGAGGAGUAGGAAUCAUGGUCUGCAAUGAAUGAGUAAUGAUUUACUAAGAACUCUUUGUAUUAAAGUCGAGUUUAAAAUGAUGUCCCAACCCUAUCUUAUCCUCCCAAAUGAGAUAGCGUCUUUGGCUAUUCUAUAAUUGCAUCCAGGCAGUAGUGAAGUACGGUCCCUAUAAUUCAGAGGGGAGGAUAAAUAUUUUAUGUAAAAAGUGGGAUGUCUUAAUAAAUAAAUGAAUAAACUAGAGACCAUGUGGUUUCAAUAAAGCAGAAGAAUUCUCAUGUCUCUACCUCCUCAGCGAGGGAUAUCAAGGACAAGCCAAAAUUAUCUUUCACUCUGUGUUUUCCCUUGUAAGAUCCUCCAACACCAGACUUACACUAGGGAUGGGGGAUCAUAAAUAUAUACUGAAGAGUUUUUACAGAGCAGCAAUGCAUAUGUUAUAUUAAAUGAUUGUUCCCUAUGAAACUUUGCAAAUUAUUUAAAACUGAAAAUAAA